AAAAACUCAAUUCCUAGGUUUUCUUCUAACAUGUGACUGUUUGUCUUAUUUAAAAAAAUUUAAAAAGAUAAGUUAUGCACAAAGUAUUAUUCAUGUUUUAUCAUCUAACAAUAAUGAAAAUACUAAUCAUAAAAAAAUUUCAUAUAAGACGGACGGUCAAAUGUUAGACACGAAAACCGAAGAAUUCAGUCUUU
Molecule: non-coding RNA, 194 nt
Organism: Oryza barthii
Lineage: Eukaryota; Viridiplantae; Streptophyta; Magnoliopsida; Poales; Poaceae
Source: Rfam